Molecule: long non-coding RNA, 329 nt
Filed under: Elaeis guineensis (African oil palm)
Lineage: Eukaryota; Viridiplantae; Streptophyta; Magnoliopsida; Arecales; Arecaceae
Description: long non-coding RNA (EGUI_LNC013032)
Source: RNAcentral
GUGGAGGAAUCCUGAAGGUGCUACGUGGUGAUAGGAUUGCUCUGGAGGGAAAGAAGGGGAGGAGAGGAUAUUAUCACCUGGCAGGGAGUCCAGUGCGAGGUGGAGCUUCAAGAGCCAGUGGAUUCCAGAGCGAGGUGGAUCUUCAGGUGGAGGUGGAUCGGGCAUGAGAUAGGAGACUUGGGAGGAUGAGAGGCAAAAUCACAAGGUGACAUUCUUAUUGCCGCAGGAUGAUACCCUGAGCAGGUCUCAAGUUAGGAGGAGGCCGAAUAUCAAGCCGAGGUGGAGAUUGUUAGGAUUUGAUAUCUUGAGAUUCGAUCCAUAUUGAGCCC